This 497-nucleotide ribosomal RNA is filed under the name uncultured bacterium. RNAcentral describes it as "partial 16S ribosomal RNA". It matches the Rfam family "Bacterial small subunit ribosomal RNA", at positions 28 to 507 of the family's 1533-position model. The record is from RNAcentral.
GAUGAACGCUGGCGGCGUGCCUAAUACAUGCAAGUCGAGCGAACGGACGAGAAGCUUGCUCCUCUGACGUUAGCGGCGGACGGGUGAGUAACACGUGGAUAACCUACCUAUAAGACUGGGAUAACUUCGGGAAACCGGAGCUAAUACCGGAUAAUAUUUUGAACCGCAUGGUUCAAAAGUGAAAGACGGUCUUGCUGUCACUUAUAGAUGGAUCCGCGCUGCAUUAGCUAGUUGGUAAGGUAACGGCUUACCAAGGCAACGAUGCAUAGCCGACCUGAGAGGGUGAUCGGCCACACUGGAACUGAGACACGGUCCAGACUCCUACGGGAGGCAGCAGUAGGGAAUCUUCCGCAAUGGGCGAAAGCCUGACGGAGCAACGCCGCGUGAGUGAUGAAGGUCUUCGGAUCGUAAAACUCUGUUAUUAGGGAAGAACAUAUGUGUAAGUAACUAUGCACGUCUUGACGGUACCUAAUCAGAAAGCCACGGCUAACUACGUG